This is a long non-coding RNA of Apodemus sylvaticus (European woodmouse), 138 nucleotides long. RefSeq lists it as uncharacterized. The transcript is spliced from 3 exons. The record is from RefSeq and is a predicted model, not a curated record. NCBI's taxonomy places the organism in Eukaryota, Metazoa, Chordata, Mammalia, Rodentia, Muridae.
AUGUUUUUGGCCACCUUUAGUUCAAAAGAACAGAAAGAUCGCUGGUAUUAUUUUAUCAAAAGAUCCACUAAUGAAGCCAGGAUGGGUAUACAGAAAAACUUCUCAAUGAAGAUAUUCACUGAGGACAUCCCAAACUGU